GGUAUUGAUUGGUGCUUGCAUCAUGAUUUACAUUUGAGUGAGUGGCGAACUGGUGAGUAACACGUGGGAAACCUGCCCAGAAGCGGGGGAUAACACCUGGAAACAGAUGCUAAUACCGCAUAACAACUUGGACCGCAGGUCCGAGUUUGAAAGAUGGCUUCGGCUAUCACUUUUGGAUGGUCCCGCGGCGUAUUAGCUAGAUGGUGGGGUAACGGCUCACCAUGGCAAUGAUACGUAGCCGACCUGAGAGGGUAAUCGGCCACAUUGGGACUGAGACACGGCCCAAACUCCUACGGGAGGCAGCAGUAGGGAAUCUUCCACAAUGGACGAAAGUCUGAUGGAGCAACGCCGCGUGAGUGAAGAAGGGUUUCGGCUCGUAAAACUCUGUUGUUAAAGAAGAACAUAUCUGAGAGUAACUGUUCAGGUAUUGACGGUAUUUAACCAGAAAGCCACGGCUAACUACGUGCCAGCAGCCGCGGUAAUACGUAGGUGGCAAGCGUUGUCCGGAUUUAUUGGGCGUAAAGCGAGCGCAGGCGGUUUUUUAAGUCUGAUGUGAAAGCCUUCGGCUCAACCGAAGAAGUGCAUCGGAAACUGGGAAACUUGAGUGCAGAAGAGGACAGUGGAACUCCAUGUGUAGCGGUGAAAUGCGUAGAUAUAUGGAAGAACACCAGUGGCGAAGGCGGCUGUCUGGUCUGUAACUGACGCUGAGGCUCGAAAGUAUGGGUAGCAAACAGGAUUAGAUACCCUGGUAGUCCAUACCGUAAACGAUGAAUGCUAAGUGGUUGGGA
This 788-nucleotide ribosomal RNA is filed under the name Lactiplantibacillus plantarum. RNAcentral describes it as "bacterial SSU rRNA". It matches the Rfam family "Bacterial small subunit ribosomal RNA", at positions 68 to 829 of the family's 1533-position model. Lineage: Bacteria; Bacillati; Bacillota; Bacilli; Lactobacillales; Lactobacillaceae. The record is from RNAcentral.